GUUGGGUGUGAUGGUACAUGCCUGUAAUCCCAGCUACUUGGGAGACUGAGAUAGGAAGAUCACAAGUUGGGAGGCCAGCCUGAACAACUUAUUAAGAUCCUGUCCCAA
Molecule: small RNA, 108 nt
Filed under: Marmota monax (woodchuck)
Lineage: Eukaryota; Metazoa; Chordata; Mammalia; Rodentia; Sciuridae
Source: RNAcentral